UCACAGCUAAUGAGUCCCAUAAUAGGACGAAACGGCCGUCCAGUGG
Non-coding RNA from Schistosoma rodhaini, 46 nucleotides. The record is from Rfam. Lineage: Eukaryota; Metazoa; Platyhelminthes; Trematoda; Strigeidida; Schistosomatidae.